ACAGGGUUUUGAAUCGGAGGCAAAGGCAGCAUCCCUCCCUCAGUCAGAGGCUGUCGUCACGGCGACAGGAGGUGUCUGCUCCACGGCCGAGAGACGGAAUGCGAGGCAGAAACGGUCGCCGCAGCAACAAGAGCAUCCGAGGACUUCCAGGAUUCAAAGCAGGAGUGGAGAAGCCGAGGCUGCCGGGGGCUCGAAAAGAGGGGAACCGGGGCCAUUCUUUCAUCCACCACCUCCUCCUCCCUCACUCCUCCUCCUCCUCCUCCGCUGCUGCUUCACAUUCUCUCUGAAGGACAGCUCUGAAUGAACCCUCCUUCUGACGGUGGGAGAGUGUGGCUGGACGGACGCUGAAAGGAAAGACAUAAAAGAGUGGGAUUGUGUGUGGGAACGGGAGAGAGAGAAAUAGGGUUGAUUGGGAGGUAGACGGCAUGUGUGAUGGUGACUGACACCGCAACAAAACGGGAAGGAUGAUCCGAGCUCAGCCGAGCCGAAAACUGUAUUUUCGUCGUUCCUCAGGAGAAAGGAUAGGCAAACCUGCACGCACUUUCUACCACUGACCAGGGGAGAGGUGAGAGCGAGAAAGCGUGUCAGAGACCACUGCCUUAUGAAGUGUAUUUCCACGGGGGCUGGUGGGAUUCAAUUUGGUGUUGUGUCUUUCCAGAUUGUCUCUUCUGGCUGCGCCUUGAAGGGUCAACUUCUCCUCUUUUAUUCUCUUCCAAUUCUUCCCGAAACAAAGGACAUGGAAUUUAUCUUCUCUGAUGGCUUUUGAAGAAAGGCUAACAACUGGAUUUCACCCGUAAUCGAAGGAAACUAGAUUGAGAUCCGUCUUUAUCCAGCCAUUUAACGAAAUGGGUGAGAAAUGUCUCUCUGACCCAAAGGAAAGGAUGCGUCAUUCCGUCUGACGCCCCUCGGGGGAUUACGUGUGAAACAUUCAUCAUAACACUUAUUAUCCAGUUCAAGGACAACUAAAGUUGGAAUAUUUCACCUUUUGGUUUGACUUUAUUUUACUCUGAACACAAGAAAAAAGACAAAUGUUGCAGAUCUAAAACAAAGAAGCACUUAGCAAGAAAAGCAUCUUUGGGAGUUUCCUUUUUCUUCCUGGAUUGGAUUUUACGUGGAUCAGUCGCUCGUGCAACUCUCCUUGCCAUGUCUUCAUGGAAGAAAAGAAUUCUGCAUCAUAGACAACCGCUUUCCAUCCAAAGUUACACCUAAGGACUUGCACAGGCACACUAAACACAUGCUAGGGUGAAAUGAGCCACGCUUCUUGCGCAUUUCGCUUCUUCAUCCUGGAGUUCAGUGUGUGUUCUUGGAUCUAACAGCCUAAGCAUCCUUCAAUGAUUCCGGCACCUUUCGUUCCAUCCGCGUCUGUCCCGAGAUGCCCCGCAGUACACAGCAAGAGGAGGCUUGACCCCAGACCCAGCGAGGUCUCUCGGCUGCCCAGGCGUAUUUAAGAUGUUGAACCCUUCCCACGUGGCCCGAGCCCCAGAUCGGAUCAGUAGCACUGCGGCUCCCAGAGGCCCCAGACAUGGAUCGUGGCUCGGCUCGCCCCUGCCCUCAGUGCUCCGCACCCCGGCCCGUGAGCAGCCUGUGAAGGAUGUCCCAGAGCGGAGCUCCAGCCCGGGCACCCUCUGAGACCCCCAGUCAGAGAGAACAGAUCCGCAGCCACAUGAAGAUGGUGAUCAAGCAGCUGGAAGGAAUCCUCAAGGAGCUGAAAGAUGUGGCACAUGAACUGCGGGAGG
This is a long non-coding RNA of Sinocyclocheilus grahami, 1736 nucleotides long. RefSeq lists it as uncharacterized. Lineage: Eukaryota; Metazoa; Chordata; Actinopteri; Cypriniformes; Cyprinidae. The record is from RefSeq and is a predicted model, not a curated record. The transcript is spliced from 3 exons.